AUACGUAGGGGGCGAGCGUUGUCCGGAAUUACUGGGCGUAAAGGGUGCGUAGGUGGCACUUUAAGUUGGAUGUGAAAUCCCCGAGCUUAACAUGGGAGCUGCAUCCAAUACUGGAGAGCUAGAGUGCAGGAGAGGUAAGCGGAAUUCCUAGUGUAGCGGUGAAAUGCGUAGAUAUUAGGAGGAACACCAGUGGCGAAGGCGGCUUACUGGACUGUAACUGACGCUGAGGCACGAAAGCGUGGGGAGCAAACAGGAUUAGAUACCCUGGUAGUCCACGCUGUAAACGAUGAAUACUAGGUGUAGGGGGUAUCAACUCCCUCUGUGCCGCAGCAAACGCAAUAAGUAUUCCGCCUGGGGAGUACGGCCGCAAGGUUGAAACUCAAAUGAAUUGGCGGGG
RNAcentral lists this ribosomal RNA (397 nucleotides) under uncultured bacterium. Its description in RNAcentral is "partial 16S ribosomal RNA". It matches the Rfam family "Bacterial small subunit ribosomal RNA", at positions 523 to 918 of the family's 1533-position model. The record is from RNAcentral.